Molecule: ribosomal RNA, 399 nt
Filed under: uncultured bacterium
Lineage: Bacteria
Description: bacterial SSU rRNA
Rfam family: Bacterial small subunit ribosomal RNA
Source: RNAcentral
AUCUUGCGCAAUGGGCGAAAGCCUGACGCAGCAACGCCGCGUGGGGGACGAAGGCUCUCGGGUUGUAAACCCCUUUCAGCAGGGACGAAAAUGACGGUACCUGCAGAAGAAGCCCCGGCCAACUACGUGCCAGCAGCCGCGGUAACACGUAGGGGGCAAGCGUUGUCCGGAAUUAUUGGGCGGAAAGAGCUCGUAGGCGGCUCGGUAAGUCAGGUGUGAAAUUCCAGGGCUCAACCCUGGAACGCCACCUGAUACUGCCGUGGCUAGAGUCCGGUAGGGGAGCGUGGAAUUCCUAGUGUAGCGGUGAAAUGCGCAGAUAUUAGGAGGAACACCAGCGGCGAAGGCGGCGCUCUGGGCCGGAACUGACGCUGAGGAGCGAAAGCGUGGGGAGCAAACAGG